Molecule: ribosomal RNA, 849 nt
Filed under: uncultured Actinomycetes bacterium
Lineage: Bacteria; Bacillati; Actinomycetota; Actinomycetes
Description: bacterial SSU rRNA
Rfam family: Bacterial small subunit ribosomal RNA
Source: RNAcentral
AGAGUUUGAUCCUGGCUCAGGACGAACGCUGGCGGCGUGCUUAACACAUGCAAGUCGAACGGUGAAACCCUUCGGGGUGGAUCAGUGGCGAACGGGUGAGUAACACGUGAGCAACCUACCCCUGACUCUGGGAUAACUCCGGGAAACCGGUGCUAAUACCGGAUACGAGCAGCGGCCUCAUGGUCUGUUGUUGGAAAGAAUUUUGGUUGGGGAUGGGCUCGCGGCCUAUCAGCUUGUUGGUGAGGUAAUGGCUCACCAAGGCGACGACGGGUAGCCGGCCUGAGAGGGCGACCGGCCACACUGGGACUGAGACACGGCCCAGACUCCUACGGGAGGCAGCAGUGGGGAAUAUUGCACAAUGGGCGAAAGCCUGAUGCAGCGACGCCGCGUGAGGGAUGACGGCCUUCGGGUUGUAAACCUCUUUCAGCUCCGAAGAAGCGAAAGUGGCGGUAGGAGCAGAAGAAGCACCGGCUAACUACGUGCCAGCAGCCGCGGUAAUACGUAGGGUGCAAGCGUUGUCCGGAAUUAUUGGGCGUAAAGAGCUCGUAGGUGGUUCGUCGCGUCUGCUGUGAAAGUCCGAGGCUUAACCUCGGAUCUGCAGUGGGUACGGGCGGACUAGAGUGCGGUAGAGGAGAUCGGAAUUCCUGGUGUAGCGGUGGAAUGCGCAGAUAUCAGGAGGAACACCGGUGGCGAAGGCGGAUCUCUGGGCCGUAACUGACGCUGAGGAGCGAAAGCAUGGGGAGCGAACAGGCUUAGAUACCCUGGUAGUCCAUGCCGUAAACGUUGGGCGCUAGGUGUGGGGUCCUAUCCACGGGUUCCGUGCCGCAGCUAACGCAUAAGCGCCCCGCC